This 429-nucleotide ribosomal RNA is filed under the name bacterium. RNAcentral describes it as "partial 16S ribosomal RNA". It matches the Rfam family "Bacterial small subunit ribosomal RNA", at positions 355 to 776 of the family's 1533-position model. The record is from RNAcentral.
UAGGGAAUCUUCGGCAAUGGGGGCAACCCUGACCGAGCAACGCCGCGUGAGUGAAGAAGGUUUUCGGAUCGUAAAGCUCUGUUGUAAGAGAAGAACGUGUGUGAGAGUGGAAAGUUCACACAGUGACGGUAACUUACCAGAAAGGGACGGCUAACUACGUGCCAGCAGCCGCGGUAAUACGUAGGUCCCGAGCGUUGUCCGGAUUUAUUGGGGGUAAAGCGAGCGCAGGCGGUUUAAUAAGUCUGAAGUUAAAGGCAGUGGUUUAACCAUUGUUCGCUUUGGAAACUGUUAAACUUGCGUGCAGAAGGAGAGGGUGGAAUUCCAUGUGUAGCGGUGAAAUGCGUAGGUAUAUGGGGGAACACCGGUGGCGGAAGCGGCUCUCUGGUCGGUAACUGACGCUGAGGCUCGAAAGCGUGGGGAGCAAACAGG